UACGGGGGGAGCAAACGUUGUUCGGAAUCACUGGGCGUAAAGGGCGCGUAGGCGGCUGAAUAAGUGGGAUGUUAAAUCCCCGGGCUCAACCCGGGACCUGCAUCUCAUACUGUUCAGCUCGAGCACAUCAGAGGAGACUGGAAUUCCCGGUGUAGCAGUGAAAUGCGUAGAUAUCGUGAGGAAGACCAGUGGCGAAGGCGGGUCUCUGGACAGUUCCUGACACUGAGGCACGAAGGCCAGGGGAGCAAACGGG
Molecule: ribosomal RNA, 253 nt
Filed under: uncultured prokaryote
Description: partial 16S ribosomal RNA
Rfam family: Bacterial small subunit ribosomal RNA
Source: RNAcentral